CAUUGGGAAGCCAGAAUUACUUGCAGGAGUAACCUAGUGCCUAUAGCUAUGGCAGGUACCUGCAUCCUUGUUUUUGUUUAGUGGAUCCUCUAUCCUUCAGAGACUCUGGAACCCCUGUGCUCUUCUCCUCAUCUAGUGACCCUGAGGUGAUGGAGUUUUCAAGUCCUUCCAGAGAGGUGCCUUCAGCCGCUACAAGAGCAGAAGCAGUGGGCAUUGGAUGGAGCUGAGUACAGGACCAUACAGGCUAAUUGCACCGGCACAGGAAUCGGAUAUAACAUCAUCUGGGUACCCAUGGCCAGCUGUGACUUCUCCAUCCGCACCUACACCUAUGCAGACACCCCUGAUGAUUUCCAGUUGCACAACUUCAGCCUCCCAGAGGAAGAUACCAAGCUCAAGAUACCCCUGAUUCACCGAGCCCUGCAGUUGGCCCAGCGUCCCGUUUCACUCCUUGCCAGCCCCUGGACAUCACCCACUCGGCUCAAGACCAGGGGAGCGGGGAAUGGGAAGGGGCCACUCAAGGGACAGCCCAGAGACAUCUACCACCAGACCUGGGCCAGAUACAUUGUGAAGUUCCUGGAUGCCUAUGCUGAGCACAAGUUACAGUUCUGGGCAGUGACAGCUGAAAAUGAGCCUUCUGCUGGGCUGUUGAGUGGAUACCCCUUCCAGUGCCUGGGCUUCACCCCUGAACAUCAGCGAGACUUCAUUGCCCGUGACCUAGGUCCUACCCUUGCCAACGGUACUCACCACAAUGUCCGCCUACUCAUGCUGGAUGACCAACGCUUGCUGCUGCCCCACUGGGCAAAGGUGGUACUGACAGACCCAGAAGCAGCUAAAGGCCUGUGUGGGUUCCAAGUUCUGGGAGCAGAGUGUGCGGCUAGGCUCCUGGGAUCGAGGGAUGCAGUACAGCCACAGCAUCAUCACAAACCUCCUGUACCAUGUGGUCGGCUGGACCGACUGGAACCCAUCAUUGUAGACAUCACCAAGCACACGUUUUACAAACAGCCCAUGUUCUACCACCUUGGCCACUUCAGCAAGUUCAUUCCUGAGGGCUCCCAGAGAGUGGGGCUGGUUGCCAGUCAGAAGAACGACCCGGACGCAGUGGCACUGAUGCAUCCCGAUGGCUCUGCUGUUGUGGUCGUGCUAAACCGCUCCUCUAAGGAUGUGCCUCUUACCAUCAAGGAUCCUGCUGUGGGCUUCCUGGAGACAAUCUCACCUGGCUACUCCAUUCACACCUACCUGUGGCGUCGCCAGUGAUGGAGCAGAUACUCAAGGAGGCACUGGGCUCAGCCUGGGCAUUAAAGGGACAGAGUCAGCUCACACGCUGUCUGUGACUAAAGAGGGCACAGCAGGGCCAGUGUGAGCUUACAGCGACGUAAGCCCAGGGGCAAUGGUUUGGGUGACUCACUUUCCCCUCUAGGUGGUGCCAGGGGCUGGAGGCCCCUAGAAAAAGAUCAGUAAGCCCCAGUGUCCCCCCAGCCCCCAUGCUUAUGUGAACAUGCGCUGUGUGCUGCUUGCUUUGGAAACUGGGCCUGGGUCCAGGCCUAGGGUGAGCUCACUGUCCGUACAAACACAAGAUCAGGGCUGAGGGUAAGGAAAAGAAGAGACUAGGAAAGCUGGGCCCAAAACUGGAGACUGUUUGUCUUUCCUGGAGAUGCAGAACUGGGCCCGUGGAGCAGCAGUGUCAGCAUCAGGGCGGAAGCCUUAAAGCAGCAGCGGGUGUGCCCAGGCACCCAGAUGAUUCCUAUGGCACCAGCCAGGAAAAAUGGCAGCUCUUAAAGGAGAAAAUGUUUGAGCCCA
Molecule: long non-coding RNA, 1797 nt
Organism: Homo sapiens (human)
Lineage: Eukaryota; Metazoa; Chordata; Mammalia; Primates; Hominidae
Gene: GBA1LP
Product: glucosylceramidase beta 1 like, pseudogene
Source: Ensembl